Molecule: ribosomal RNA, 85 nt
Filed under: Trichogramma evanescens
Lineage: Eukaryota; Metazoa; Arthropoda; Insecta; Hymenoptera; Trichogrammatidae
Description: partial 5.8S ribosomal RNA
Source: RNAcentral
GCCGGCACAUGUACAUCUGACAUUUUCGAACACACAUUGCGGUCCACGUGUUCUCGUUCCCCGCGCCCGCCUGGGUGAGGGUUGU